UACGUAGGGGGCAAGCGUUGUCCGGAAUCAUUGGGCGUAAAGCGCACGUAGGCGGCCCGGUAAGUCCGUUGUGAAAGUCAGAGGCUCAACCUCUGGAGGCCAAUGGAUACUGCCGGGCUAGAGUCCGGAAGAGGCGAGUGGAAUUCCUGGUGUAGCGGUGAAAUGCGCAGAUAUCGGGAGGAACACCAGUGGCGAAGGCGGUUGCCUGGGGCUUUGCUGACGCUGAUGCGCGAAAGCGUGGGGAGCGAUCCGG
RNAcentral lists this ribosomal RNA (253 nucleotides) under uncultured bacterium. Its description in RNAcentral is "partial 16S ribosomal RNA". It matches the Rfam family "Bacterial small subunit ribosomal RNA", at positions 524 to 776 of the family's 1533-position model. The record is from RNAcentral.